Molecule: long non-coding RNA, 492 nt
Filed under: Glycine max (soybean)
Lineage: Eukaryota; Viridiplantae; Streptophyta; Magnoliopsida; Fabales; Fabaceae
Description: long non-coding RNA (GMAX_LNC002768)
Source: RNAcentral
CCCAUCCACCUUAUGUCCCAAAACCACCAGUUGUGCCAGUUACACCACCAUAUGUUCCAAAACCACCAAUUGUGAACCCUCCCUAUGUCCCAAAACCGCCUGUUGUGCCAGUUACACCACCUUAUAUCCCUAAACCACCAGUUGUGACACCACCAUAUGUCCCUAAACCACCAGUGGUGCCAGUUACACCACCAUAUGUCCCUAAACCACCAGUGGUGCCAGUUACACCACCUUAUGUGCCAAAACCACCCAUUGUGAAACCACCAAUUGUUUAUCCACCAGUUGUGCCAAAACCACCAAUUGUUACACCACCUUAUGUGCCAAAACCACCCAUUGUGAAACCACCAAUUGUUUAUCCACCAGUUGUGCCAAAACCACCAAUUGUUACACCACCUUAUGUGCCAAAACCACCCAUUGUGAAACCACCAAUUGUUUAUCCACCAGUUGUGCCAACACCACCUAUUGUGUAUCCACCUGUUGUACCAACUCCAC